RNAcentral lists this ribosomal RNA (450 nucleotides) under uncultured bacterium. RNAcentral's name for it is "partial 16S ribosomal RNA". It matches the Rfam family "Bacterial small subunit ribosomal RNA", at positions 29 to 507 of the family's 1533-position model. The record is from RNAcentral.
AUGAACGCUGGCGGCGUGCCUCACCCAUGCCCGUCGAGCGGCAGCGAGGGGUGCUUGCACCCUGUCGGCGAGCGGCGGACGGCUGAGUAACGCGUGGGAACGUGCCCCAAAGUGAGGAAUAACUGCCCGAAAGGGUAGCUAAUACCGCAUAUUAUCUUCGGAUCAAAGGAUUUAUCCGCUUUGGGAGCGGCUCGCGUCGGAUUAGGUAGUUGGUGAGGUAAUGGCUCACCAAGCCGACGAUCCGUAGCUGGUCUGAGAGGAUGACCAGCCAGACUGGAACUGAGACACGGUCCAGACUCCUACGGGAGGCAGCAGUGAGGAAUCUUCCACAAUGGGCGAAAGCCUGAUGGAGCAACGCCGCGUGCAGGACGAAGGCCUUCGGGUUGUAAACUGCUUUUAUAAGUGAGGAAUAUGACGGUAACUUAUGAAUAAGGAUCGGCUAACUACGUG